UAUCUUAAAUUGAGUUAUAUACUUGUUGCAUAGCUGCUGUCUGUUUGCUGAGAAAACAGAGGAAGCUGGAAAGAAAAUGAAUUUUCAUAGGCAAUGGUUAUUUAGAUAUAUCAAUCGAUUGGGGCUUGAUUGGCUUGGUCUUUAACUGAGGUCAUCUGAGUGGAAUUUAUUGCUUGGCUCUUCAUACGACUAUUGACAUUCUGCUCAUUGGAGGUCGUGACUCUGUUUGUCGGGUCUGGGAUAUCCGUAGCAAGAUGCAAAUUCAUGCACUGUCUGGGCAUGAGAACACCGUUUGCUCAGUUUUUACUCGACCUACGGCAAAAAAUGACAACCCUUACACACCAUAAGAAAUCUGUGCGAGCAUUGGCUUUACAUCCCAAAGAGUAUGUAUCUGUAAAUAUAAUUUGUUCCUUUGCAAGUUGAGUGUUGAUGCAAUUGAAUCAACCCAUGAUAAUGCACUCGCAAGAAGAUAUUUGGGUUGUGU
This is a non-coding RNA of Camellia sinensis, 484 nucleotides long. NCBI's taxonomy places the organism in Eukaryota, Viridiplantae, Streptophyta, Magnoliopsida, Ericales, Theaceae. The record is from RefSeq and is a predicted model, not a curated record.